GAUGAACGCUGGCGGCGUGCCUAAUACAUGCAAGUCGAGCGAACGGGCGAUACGCGUGCUUCUCUGGUGUUAGCGGCGGACGGGUGAGUAACACGUGGUUUACCUACCUCUAAGACUGGGAUAACUUCGGGAAGCCGUAGCUCAUGCCGGGUAACAUUUUGAACGGCAUGGUUGAAAAGUGAAAUACGUUCUUGCUGUCACUUAGAGAUGGAUCCGCGCUGCAUUAGCUAGGUGGUAAGGUAACGGCUUACCAAGGCAACGAUGCCUAGCCGACCGGAGAGGGUGUACGGGCCCUCUGGAACUGGGCCACGGUCCAGGCUCCUACGGGCGGCCGCAGCUGCGACUCUUCCGAGCUGUGCGGAAGCCUGCAGGAGCAGCGCCACGUUGGUGCUGCAGCUCCUCGGGUCGUAUAACUCCGUUAUUAUUGAAGACCCUAUGUGUAAGUAACUGUGCACAUCUUGACGGUACCUAAUCAGAAAGCCCCGGCUAACUACGUG
RNAcentral lists this ribosomal RNA (497 nucleotides) under uncultured bacterium. RNAcentral describes it as "partial 16S ribosomal RNA". It matches the Rfam family "Bacterial small subunit ribosomal RNA", at positions 28 to 507 of the family's 1533-position model. The record is from RNAcentral.